Molecule: transfer RNA, 64 nt
Filed under: Kozhantshikovia vernalis
Lineage: Eukaryota; Metazoa; Arthropoda; Insecta; Lepidoptera; Psychidae
Description: tRNA-Thr
Rfam family: tRNA
About the family: Transfer RNA (tRNA) molecules are approximately 80 nucleotides in length. Their secondary structure includes four short double-helical elements and three loops (D, anti-codon, and T loops).
Source: RNAcentral
GUUUUUAUAGUUUAUAUAAAACAUUGGUUUUGUAAAUCAAAAUUAUGAAAUUUCAUUAAAAACU